Non-coding RNA from Podarcis lilfordi (Lilford's wall lizard), 68 nucleotides. The record is from the annotation of a GenBank genome assembly. Lineage: Eukaryota; Metazoa; Chordata; Lepidosauria; Squamata; Lacertidae.
GGGUAACUCAGUGGUAGGGCAUCUGUCUUGCAAGUGGAAGGUCCCAGGUUCAGUCCCUGGCACCUCCA